ACGUGCGCGUGUGAGUUCUGUGCGCAUGCGUCUUCCUGUCGCUCCGGCUACAGCUGAAGUGAAGAAUGGCCCACCGACCUCAACACCCAGCAGGUGUGAAGAAGCACCACCUGACUGCCAUGUUCACCAUCACCGCUUCACGUUCACUCCACCAGCCCACAUUCCCUCCAAGAGGCUGGCUGCAGAUUCAGAGCUGCCUCUCCAAAGCCUCUGUGACCAGGUGACACAAGCACACCUGUCCUUGUCCCGUUGUGUCAGCACCAGUGGAGGAGCUUCUACAACUGACGUCAGGAGAGGUCUAACUAUCUGUAUACUAUUUACAGAGUGAAAGACGGGCACAUCACACGGAUCCGUCCCCAGGUGACUUCAGCCAUGCCCAGUUCAGCUGGACGUCAUCAUGCUCCUGCCACCUCUCAUACUGUCCUCUCCAGGUCUUCCCUCGUCUUCGUCCUGGCUGUGGCUGCAGCUUGGUGGCUGAUGGUCGUCUCUGUGCUGCUGUGGCCCCAAGGUGUCAUAUUUUACCCUUCACUACAACACAUCCUUCCCCAAGUUAUAUUUUAUGGAACAUGUGGAUUAUUUAGUCCAGAAUUUUACAUAUUUGAAAAUUUUAUAUUGUUUCAGAUAAUUUGAUCUAAAAAUAAACUUCAAGCAAAUCCUU
Chelmon rostratus (copperband butterflyfish) is the source of this 658-nucleotide long non-coding RNA. RefSeq lists it as uncharacterized. The record is from RefSeq and is a predicted model, not a curated record. Lineage: Eukaryota; Metazoa; Chordata; Actinopteri; Chaetodontiformes; Chaetodontidae. The transcript is spliced from 4 exons.